CGUGUAGUGUAGAAAUAUAUUCUAGUUUUCUUUUUUUUCAUAUGUUUUUUAUUUGCUCAGCGGUCUCGCAGCGUAGUUAAAAGCAAGUCUAAACAUUUUGUGGCCUCUUGUUGGUUAGAUGUGUGCGUGUUGGGGUCGCAUAAGCCCACGCGGCCCCUCGCGCUCCCCUCCGACCGACCUUCACACUGGAGACAUUUGUUUGCAUUUCAAGCAGCAGCAGGAAAUUAAGCAUUUAGCAUUACAAAUUACACAUUACACGUAUUACGUAUUACAAAUUACACGGUUUAGCAGCUGGGACUUUGACUACGACCAAAACUAGAAAUGAAAACUGAAACUAAAGCUCAUAAAUUGGUUGCAAUCGCACGCUAGAUUGUUGUUGUCCAGGAGACUCGUAAUUAUAAUUAAUUGUUACCUGUAUCCUGGCUGCCACACGCUCGCCGUUGAAACGAUUGGGGUUGAACCAACCCUUCGUCGAGCCCGUCACAAGCACAAUGCCGAGCAGGAAGAAGAGUAUUAACGCGGUUAUAACGAGUUUCGCGCGCGUCGAAAUGACCAUUGCCAUGUUUCAAUUUUGAUAUUUACACACGGUGACACUUUAACACUUAGCACUAGAAACCAACUCGGAUAACACUCACGAUUGCCUGGAAAACAAAAAAGAUGCAUGAGUUGGCAUAUUAA
Molecule: long non-coding RNA, 678 nt
Organism: Drosophila montana
Lineage: Eukaryota; Metazoa; Arthropoda; Insecta; Diptera; Drosophilidae
Exons: 2
Source: RefSeq, a predicted model, not a curated record